This 471-nucleotide ribosomal RNA is filed under the name Sungouiella pseudointermedia. RNAcentral's name for it is "[Candida] pseudointermedia partial large subunit ribosomal RNA". It matches the Rfam family "Eukaryotic large subunit ribosomal RNA", at positions 114 to 652 of the family's 3401-position model. The record is from RNAcentral. Lineage: Eukaryota; Fungi; Ascomycota; Pichiomycetes; Serinales; Metschnikowiaceae.
UUUGAAAUCCUUCGGGAGUUGUAAUUUGUAGGUUGGGAGACCCCGCGGCUAGUGGCACCAAGUCCCUUGGAACAGGGCGCCUUAGAGGGUGAGAGCCCCGUAGGUACCACAACACCGUCUUGUGUCUCCUCUCCAAAGAGUCGAGUUGUUUGGGAAUGCAGCUCAAAGUGGGUGGUAAAUUCCAUCUAAAGCUAAAUACCGGCGAGAGACCGAUAGCGAACAAGUACAGUGAUGGAAAGAUGAAAAGCACUUUGAAAAGAGAGUGAAACAGUACGUGAAAUUGUUGAAAGGGAAGGGCUUGCAAGCAGACACGGCCUUCGUGCCGGGCCAGCAUCGGUUGCUAGGGGUGGAUAAGGAACAAGGAAUGUAGCUCCUCGGAGUAUUAUAGCCUUGCGCGAUACACCCACUGGCGACCGAGGCCUGCGGUAUUCUUUACCUAGGAUGCUGGCGUAAUGGUUGCAAGCCGCCCGU